AUUGAACGCUGGCGGCAUGCCUUACACAUGCAAGUCGAACGGCAGCACGGGUGCUUGCCCCUGGUGGCGAGUGGCGAACGGGUGAGUAAUACAUCGGAACAUGUCCUGUAGUGGGGGAUAGCCCGGCGAAAGCCGGAUUAAUACCGCAUACGAUCUACGGAUGAAAGCGGGGGACCUUCGGGCCUCGCGCUAUCGGGUUGUCCGAUGGCUGAUUUGCUAGUUGGUGGGGUAAAGGCCUACCAAGGCGACGAUCAGUAGCUGGUCUGAGAGGACGACCAGCCACACUGGGACUGAGACACGGCCCAGACUCCUACGGGAGGCAGCAGUGGGGAAUUUUGGACAAUGGGCGAAAGCCUGAUCCAGCAAUGCCGCGUGUGUGAAGAAGGCCUUCGGGUUGUAAAGCACUUUUGUCCGGAAAGAAAUCCUUGGCCCUAAUACGGUCGGGGGAUGACGGUACCGGAAGAAUAAGCACCGGCUAACUACGUG
Molecule: ribosomal RNA, 486 nt
Filed under: uncultured bacterium
Lineage: Bacteria
Description: partial 16S ribosomal RNA
Rfam family: Bacterial small subunit ribosomal RNA
Source: RNAcentral